UAUUAAGCAGUGUGCAAAGAAUCUACAAGGAAAUUACUUGAAAAAGAAAGAAAAAGAAGCAAACGCCUGUGAAAUUAACCUGGCUGAUCUAAGCCACUCCUCAUAAAGAUUCCCUUUCCAACCCUUCACCAUUUUAGUGGCCCUCCUUUGGGCACUCUCUAAUAGCUCAGUGUACUUUUUUAUGUUGUGGUGCCCAAAACUGCACAGUGGACUUGAGGGCACCACAGCACAGAGCAGGGUGGGACAAUCCCCUCCCUUGCCCUGCUGAUUCCCCCAUCUGUCCAUACAACCAGGGUUUCCCUUUCCCAGGAGCAGAAUCCAGCACUAACCCUUGUUAAAUUUCAUGUGGUUUUAAAGGGACUGAACCCCCCAUGGAACAGGUUGCUGCCCAGAGGGCAGAGGUUACAACAAACACAGGCACCGAAGUGAACACCCUGACUCAUAAAGCCCUGCUGACAUUUUCUUGCUCAAAUGCAGGGCCCAGGUGGGUUUGGAUUCUUGCUGAUCUACAAAGAAUUCCCACAUCGUGGUCAGUUUUCAGCUGGCUUAGAUAUACCAGGUUCUUCCUGCCAUCACAAUUUGGAGGCUGCUGGGUUGAAGAUCACCUCCAUCAGGUUCCAAAACCCAGUGAGUGCUGCAGCCAAGGAAAUUCUCCUUCAGAAGUGGCAUUGAUUGGAGAGUGCCUGAAGAACUGGAGGGCAGGAAUCCAGGUGAUGCUGUGGAACUGGAAGUGAGAAUUGACAAAAAUGCUGAUACUUCAUGACUGGGACACAGAUACUGUUCUUAGGGAAAACCAGUCAGGUUUCCUAAUGCAGACUAGUGAAGAAAUAGUUGGGUUGCAGGUUUAUAGAAAAAUAUAUUUUUAUUACUCACAAACGACCAUGAAUCACAAUGACAGGUUGUAGGACAACCCCCACAAAUUUAAAAAAAAAAAGUAUAUGCAGGAGUAAGCCUCACGACACAAUCCUUCUCUCCAUUCAGAACUGAGGGAGACCUGAGCUGGAAAUCUGGAUUCAGUUUUCUUGGGCAGCCAGGAAUACACUGAACCAACAACCAAACCGGCAGAAGCAAAAUGCUGCUCCAGCUCAAAUUUAUGAUACCACAGAUAUAUUUGACAAGGUAAAAACAAUGAAAUAAAAGAGGAGAAAAAUUACCUGUGCA
RNAcentral lists this long non-coding RNA (1161 nucleotides) under Zonotrichia albicollis (white-throated sparrow). Its description in RNAcentral is "lncRNA (ENSZALG00000012307.1)". Lineage: Eukaryota; Metazoa; Chordata; Aves; Passeriformes; Passerellidae. The record is from RNAcentral.